UCUGGUGCAUCAUCUUCUUUCUAGUGUCAGCUGUUAGUGAAACAAUGCCGGUAUUCCGAGGUAACGGUGAACCUUUGAAAAAAAAAAAAUAAAUACUGUUUGAACCAGAAUUCCGGUAACAAGAGAAAGAUCAAUCCAGUAUCAAUUAGAGCGUACAGAAAAUCUUUUGCAUUGAUUGCACGUGUGAAGUAUGCUGUUAUAAGUGUGACAGACAAAUAAGAAUGAUAAGGGAUUAAAAUUAAUAGUGAAAAGUCAUAGUUGUUGUUGGAAUCAACUUAAUGAACGACUUAGGUUACAAACUACUAUACCUGUGCUGCCUCCCCAGGACAUCAUUUGAACCAUUGUUCUAAAAAGUAAAAGUUGUUCAAAAUUUCUACAACCAUGACUUCUUCCUAAAACCUAUGCAGUAUGAUGUGCUGGACAGG
Daphnia carinata is the source of this 425-nucleotide long non-coding RNA. RefSeq lists it as uncharacterized. The record is from RefSeq and is a predicted model, not a curated record. The transcript is spliced from 2 exons. NCBI's taxonomy places the organism in Eukaryota, Metazoa, Arthropoda, Branchiopoda, Diplostraca, Daphniidae.